RNAcentral lists this unclassified non-coding RNA (421 nucleotides) under uncultured fungus. RNAcentral's name for it is "partial contains small subunit ribosomal RNA, internal transcribed spacer 1, and 5.8S ribosomal RNA". The stretch from base 1 to 73 matches the Rfam family "Eukaryotic small subunit ribosomal RNA", at positions 1759 to 1831 of the family's 1831-position model. The record is from RNAcentral. Lineage: Eukaryota; Fungi.
GCAAACUUGGUCAUUUAGAGGAAGUAAAAGUCGUAACAAGGUUUCCGUAGGUGAACCUGCGGAAGGAUCAUUAACACGUAUCCACGUAUCAACCCCUCUGCGAACACGUAAACGUAAGGUUGGUCUUAGUUCAGCAACUCGCAUAGACCUCAACGAUGGAAGACUUUUGUUGACGCUUGCCUUUCACGGGUGGCUGAGACUGAGUCUUGAGGUCUGAGUUGUUGGGUGUUUGACGACUGGCCGCUAUUUUCCCAUCGUUAGGUAUUCAUAACCCAUUUUUAACCCCUUUGUACUUCUCUGUACUGAACCAAUUCCUUCGAGUUCUCUUCGCAAGAAGACUUGAACACGAAAGAUAUUACGAAACUAAAGAACAACUCUUAGCAACGGAUAUCUUGGUUCCCGCAUCGAUGAAGAACGCAGC